RNAcentral lists this ribosomal RNA (253 nucleotides) under uncultured bacterium. RNAcentral's name for it is "partial 16S ribosomal RNA". It matches the Rfam family "Bacterial small subunit ribosomal RNA", at positions 524 to 776 of the family's 1533-position model. The record is from RNAcentral.
UACAGAGGUCCCAAGCGUUGUUCGGAAUUACUGGGCGUAAAGGGCUCGUAGGCGGCCAACUAAGUCAUACGUGAAAUCCCUCAGCUUAACUGGGGAACUGCGUGUGAUACUGGAUGGCUUGGAUUUGGGAGAGGGAUGCGGAAUUCCAGGUGUAGCGGUGAAAUGCGUAGAUAUCUGGAGGAACACCGGUGGCGAAGGCGGCAUCCUGGACCAAUAUUGACGCUGAGGAGCGAAAGCCAGGGGAGCAAACGGG